GCUAACUGGAAGCCUAUCCUGAAACCAAUACAACAGAUUGAAAGUCACUUCUGUUCAAAAGGAUUCUUAAAAAAGGACACUGACAAGAUUGGAUUGGAAGGCAGUAAACAGGAUACAAAACGAUUAAGCAGUUUUAUUUUUCAGGUCUGAGAAGAUGUCACCAGCAACAAAGAUGUCAUAUCAGAUUCUCAUUCUCUUUGGCUGAAAAGGUACCAAUUUUACAAGGGAAGAAAUAAAAAGUUAUGCAUAUGGCAAAGGAAGUGGGCUGUAAAAAUACUAAGGUGGAGUCACAGGAGUCACAGGAGCUGCCAACCUCUGAGGUGCACAAGUGAUCUUGAGGAAUAAUCUCCUUGACAAACUUUCAAUGGUAGCAAUUGAUUGAUAUUGCCAAGGCUGUCAUUGCACCAGAAAUGACUAGAAAGAUAUACUUAAAACAAAAAUACUACCAAGGUUAGUAGUGAUAAUGAAAGGGAUGCCAAAUUUCGGUUGGGGGAGGAUGUAUCAGUGGGCAUGUAAUUUAAGGUACUUUAUAUCUGACCCUGAACAUACCCAGAGUACAACCUCUCCUA
This is a long non-coding RNA of Mauremys reevesii (Reeves's turtle), 569 nucleotides long. RefSeq lists it as uncharacterized. Lineage: Eukaryota; Metazoa; Chordata; Testudines; Geoemydidae. The transcript is spliced from 4 exons. The record is from RefSeq and is a predicted model, not a curated record.